RNAcentral lists this ribosomal RNA (253 nucleotides) under uncultured bacterium. RNAcentral's name for it is "partial 16S ribosomal RNA". It matches the Rfam family "Bacterial small subunit ribosomal RNA", at positions 524 to 776 of the family's 1533-position model. The record is from RNAcentral.
UACGUAGGGGGCGAGCGUUGUCCGGAUUUAUUGGGCGUAAAGAGCGUGUAGGCGGCCAGGUAGGUCCGUUGUGAAAACUCGAGGCUCAACCUCGAGACGUCGAUGGAAACCAUCUGGCUAGAGUCCGGAAGAGGAGAGUGGAAUUCCUGGUGUAGCGGUGAAAUGCGUAGAUAUCUGGAGGAAUACCGGUGGCGAAGGCGGGUCUCUGGGCAAUUCCUGACGCUGAGGCGCGAAAGCGUGGGGAGCAAACGGG